RNAcentral lists this ribosomal RNA (490 nucleotides) under Salmonella enterica. RNAcentral's name for it is "partial 23S ribosomal RNA". It matches the Rfam family "Bacterial large subunit ribosomal RNA", at positions 1010 to 1503 of the family's 2925-position model. The record is from RNAcentral. Lineage: Bacteria; Pseudomonadati; Pseudomonadota; Gammaproteobacteria; Enterobacterales; Enterobacteriaceae.
GUGAAGAGGGAAACAACCCAGACCGCCAGCUAAGGUCCCAAAGUCAUGGUUAAGUGGGAAACGAUGUGGGAAGGCCCAGACAGCCAGGAUGUUGGCUUAGAAGCAGCCAUCAUUUAAAGAAAGCGUAAUAGCUCACUGGUCGAGUCGGCCUGCGCGGAAGAUGUAACGGGGCUAAACCAUGCACCGAAGCUGCGGCAGCGACGCUGAUGCGUUGUUGGGUAGGGGAGCGUUCUGUAAGCCUGCGAAGGUGGCCUGUGAGGGUUGCUGGAGGUAUCAGAAGUGCGAAUGCUGACAUAAGUAACGAUAAAGCGGGUGAAAAGCCCGCUCGCCGGAAGACCAAGGGUUCCUGUCCAACGUUAAUCGGGGCAGGGUGAGUCGACCCCUAAGGCGAGGCCGAAAGGCGUAGUCGAUGGGAAACGGGUUAAUAUUCCCGUACUUGGUGUUACUGCGAAGGGGGGACGGAGAAGGCUAUGUUGGCCGGGCGACGGUU